AUUCGUCAGAUGGAUCCUACUGCUUAAUUAUUCAGACUUCAAUUUCUGCACACUAAUAAGUGAUAUAAAACAUGUAAGAUGCAUGAAUAAUGUCAUAUCCGGUGCAUAUACAGAUCAAAUUGCACAUUCAAAGUUACAAAUCCAAUAUCAAUAUAUGCAGAUCUAAAAGAUAUAUAUUUGCACUCGAUCUGCAGAAACAAAAACAAACUACCAAGAUCGCAAUCUAAGAACAUGUACACGACUUCAUCUCCUCCAGAAAACACUAGAUCUUGAUUUGCUAUCUCAAGGAGCAAAUUAAAAAAAAGCUGAAGCUGAACUUACAUGGACUGUUGAACUCCUGAUUUGGCCUAAUCGAUCGUCCUUGUAUAAGAUCAGGCUAAGAUCGAGAAGCCAAGCUACCUGCUCCUAGGGUUUCAUCAUCAAUCAAUCAAGCUGGUGUGCUGCCAUGAGAAGAUGAAGCUGCCGGAUGAUCUGAUCGCUGGUUUGAGAUGCUUUCAGAUCAUGCUGGCAGCUUCACCUGCUUAUGGCGCACAAACAAAGCGAAUUAACAGCCCAUCUCAUCUACCUCCAUAAUCGCCAUGCCUAGUAGCUAGCUAGAGAGAUAUGGGAGAAGAAACCUUAUCAAAGAGAGAGAUUAGGGGGAUGGGCAAAAUAAGGCGUGCGUUGGUGGAGUGGGAGAAGGUGAUU
This 687-nucleotide precursor RNA is filed under the name Oryza barthii. RNAcentral describes it as "putative precursor microRNA R167g". The stretch from base 442 to 528 matches the Rfam family "MIR167 microRNA precursor family". Lineage: Eukaryota; Viridiplantae; Streptophyta; Magnoliopsida; Poales; Poaceae. The record is from RNAcentral.